RNAcentral lists this unclassified non-coding RNA (374 nucleotides) under uncultured Actinomycetes bacterium. Its description in RNAcentral is "uncultured actinobacterium contains 16S-23S intergenic spacer region". The record is from RNAcentral. Lineage: Bacteria; Bacillati; Actinomycetota; Actinomycetes.
UCCGGUUUGUCACCGGCAGUCUCGCAUGAGUCCCCAACUUAAUGCUGGCAACAUGCGACGGGGGUUGCGCUCGUUGCGGGACUUAACCCAACAUCUCACGACACGAGCUGACGACAACCAUGCACCACCUGUAUACCGACCUUGCGGGGCGACGAUCUCUCGCCGUUUCCGGUAUAUGUCAAGCCUAGGUAAGGUUCUUCGCGUUGCAUCGAAUUAAGCCACAUGCUCCGCCGCUUGUGCGGGCCCCCGUCAAUUCCUUUGAGUUUUAGCCUUGCGGCCGUACUCCCCAGGCGGGGCGCUUAAUGCGUUAGCUGCGGCACGGAGACCUUGGAAGGUCCCCACACCUAGCGCCCAACGUUUACGGCAUGGACUAC